GUGUCCCUGUACUUUCAUUUUUAACAUCCUUCCAGACUUCUAAGAAAACUGCCCCUUUGGAAACAGAGCCCCGCUGUGGGCAUGUGGGAUCACCAGGGAAGCUGCUGGCUGAGCUGAGGAUAAACACCAGCGAUUCUAUUCUCAGUGACUAACUUCAACAUGAAUGCCAACGCGUAUAACAGGAAAUCAGAUGAUGCAAGGCAAAGCAGGAGCAUCAGACUUUGAAAUGACAUGGGGCUUUAGGUGAUAGCCAGGCCCGCUGGUUUGCAAGUGCACACUGGUCCAGCCCUGAGAAGCCGCUCUUGCAGAAACACCUAGGAACCUGACUUAUUCAGUAGAAAAUAACUGCCCCAGAGGUGGGAGUUAGGGUCUUGUGAAAGUUUAAAUUAGGAGAAAUUAUAGUUGAAGAGCUUAAAACCAGAGGGAAACACGGAGGGAAUGGACAUCACAUCUGUGAGCAUUCAGAGAAAUCAUUUAAAUUCACUAAGAUUAUUCUAACAACAACAAAAAUAGCAAUGAGUAGCAUUUUCUGCACAUGAAGCAAUGCUAUGUUUGUUCCCUUUUUAAGAGGAAUCCUGUGACCCCUCUCCCCACAAAACCCAGUAUUGAAGUUCAGGCCUGAAUCACUCUGGAUACACACCCCUUGGAGAGGCUUGACCCAAACCAGUUAAAAAAAAAAAAAGAAAGCGCCAAAGAGCCAAAUUCUUGGCUUCCACCAGUUCCUAAACAGGCUUUUGAAAUUCAUGGCAGAGAUAAUAACCUUGAAAGCCAAGGCUUUUGAUUUGCAAGAUUCGCAAAAGAGGCUCUUUUUUUUAAACGUCUCUAAACUGGUUUUGAGUAGCAAGACUUUGGAUUCAAAAGCAAAUCCCUGAAGGAAUCUUGGAAUAAAGUUUCUGCCACAACAGACAAUACAUCUGUGGGGGGAACUGAUGAAAAGUCAUAUUAUCCUGUCCCUGAGGGUGAAAAUGUCCAAAAAACAAAAAACAAAAACAAAAACCCAGAGAGGAGGAAUUACAAAUUCCAGGGGGCUAAAGAAGGGGAAAAACAGGGUUGGCGGUGAGCUGAGGAGCUAA
Non-coding RNA from Callorhinus ursinus (northern fur seal), 1073 nucleotides. The record is from RefSeq and is a predicted model, not a curated record. NCBI's taxonomy places the organism in Eukaryota, Metazoa, Chordata, Mammalia, Carnivora, Otariidae.